RNAcentral lists this ribosomal RNA (442 nucleotides) under uncultured bacterium. RNAcentral describes it as "partial 16S ribosomal RNA". It matches the Rfam family "Bacterial small subunit ribosomal RNA", at positions 338 to 795 of the family's 1533-position model. The record is from RNAcentral.
CCUACGGGAGGCAGCAGUAGGGAAUCUUUCACAAUGGGCGAAAGCCUGAUGGAGCAACGCCGCGUGCAGGAUGAAGGCCUUCGGGUUGUAAACUGCUUUUAUAAGCGAGAAAUAUGAUGGUAACUUAUGAAUAAGGAUCGGCUAACUACGUGCCAGCAGCCGCGGUCAUACGUAGGAUCCGAGCAUUAUCCGGAGUGACUGGGUGUAAAGAGUUGCGUAGGUGGCAUAAUAAGUAGCUAGUGAAAUCUGGUGGCUCAACCAUUCAGACUAUUAGCUAAACUGUUAAGCUCGAGACCGUUAGGGGUAACUGGAAUUUUUAGUGUAGGAGUGAAAUCCGUAGAUAUUAGAAGGAACACCAAUAGCGUAGGCAGGUUGCUGGGACGGUUCUGACACUAAGGCACGAAAGCGUAGGGAGCAAACGGGAUUAGAUACCCGUGUAGUC